This is a long non-coding RNA of Mugil cephalus (flathead mullet), 2689 nucleotides long. RefSeq lists it as uncharacterized. NCBI's taxonomy places the organism in Eukaryota, Metazoa, Chordata, Actinopteri, Mugiliformes, Mugilidae. The record is from RefSeq and is a predicted model, not a curated record. The transcript is spliced from 6 exons.
UUUAAGUAUUAAUUAAUAAGUCGUGAAUGUAACACCCUUAUUGGAUAAAAGUAGUGGGGUGAUGGUUAGUCAUGGUAAUGUAUGGAAAGUAGGAUGUGUCUCGAUUUAAGAGUAUAAAAGAUGAAAUGCAGAAGUAUCUUACGGGAAUUUCACCUCGGACACAGACUGUGCUGCAUGUGGACUGAGCCAACUCCCUCGCAGUGCUAUUUUGGCUUUAAAGUUUGGUCUGGAUUCCCCCUGCCUAGCAGACAAAGUUUGGAUUAUCUUUCACACUCUGGAUUUCUACUUCUUGGACUUUGUACGGAGUCGAGGAGAUCAAUUGGAAUACAUUUGUGAAGGAUUUAAGGGAUUUACCAAAGGACAGAGUCAUCGUUCAUCCGGACUUCCCUAUUUUACCAACUCGUUCUGCGGCGGUAAAAGGACUGGGUUUGGGUGCGGCUCACUCAACACCUGUCCUUCCCUAAAAAGGAUUUUUGGACAGUUUUGGACAUUUUACUUUACCCCCACUUCAUCUGCCUGGCUCAUAAGUACUCAAGACUGUAAAACUAUAGGCAACCUGAAUGGUAGCUCCGGCACCUAACUCUUAUUGGUCACAAUAGUCAAGUCCACUUGAAACCAUUCUUAUGUCCCUAGGGCUUCCAGCCUAGCCUUUAAAUUAUAACCUGGCAGGUACCAAGUGCACAGAUCCAUUAGGGGUAAGCCACCACUGACGGGACUUAACCUCAGACCCAGCUGCAGGAAGCCUCCAUGACUGGUGGAUCCGGGGGACGUGAGGAAGCGUGGCAGACGUCAGGAUUAAGGGUGGUUAGAGGCCAGGCGAGUUACCCCCCCUACAGCUUGAGUAGUGCUGUCACUGAGUUCAGUUGGGGUAAUACUCUGCUGACGUGAAGCCGUAACCCUGUAUAAACGGAGAAGCUGUCUUACCUGUUACCUGUGGGGAUCUAACAAUGGAUAUCCUGUGAAGUUGAGAUGAUUCAUUUGGUUAAAGAUCUGUUAGUAUUUUGAUGAUGGUAUGUGUCAAAGCGUAAGUGGCAAGUAGUACAUGCCUAGACAUGUUUCUAUGAAACUCACGUGAUGCCAUCCGACCCUGCCCAUGCUUUUGGCCAAGUGAAAAGCUAAUGAUAACCGAAGAUUAUUGCAGUCCAUUCUCCAGUCCGCGCCAGACUUGAAAAAUAAAAUGACCUGUUGACCUUAAAGGUCAACGAUCAUCUUUUUAUCAGGUGAAACAGCGGAGUCACAACCCCCGUACGUUUGGGAUGGAUGUGAAGCUCUGGCCAUCUCUCACACACACUCAGUACUGGGGGCUUGUAAACAGGGUAUAAAGCCAUUGUCAUACACGCAUUUCAUCACUACCUGCUGCUGAAGACGUCACAUCAGUCUUGCCUGAGAGCCUCCAAAGAAGCACAUUUUUGGGGGGGGUACGUAAUCUCUGUCCCUUUAUUAUCGGGUGAUUCCUUUCACUAAACCUAACAUAGUUUCCUGAAGCUGUUUUUCAGACACAGAUAUUUUUUCAUGAAAGCAUCAAAAAUGGGUUCUUGUAUGUAACAUUUUAAGACUGAUUUUAUACAUGUUUCAUUGUUACGGUAUAAGGAUAACACAGGGCCUUUCUUCCAGACACUGAGAAGGCGGCCUUCUUUCGCCGUGCAUAUGAUGAGUACAGCCAGGGCAUCUUAUGUAAGGCAUUUAUCUGAUUUAAAUGAAGCUAUAGAUUUUACAGAAAAAAAAAAAAGAAAUUUACAAGAAUUAAUUUUUUUGUAGGCACCCCUGAAGUAGUGUGAUAGAUAGUAAAUGUGAUAGAUUCUAUAGACUUUUAUUACGAUGCAAGACACCGUUUUGGAUUACGAAAAAGAGAGUGAACUUCAAUCUCAAUCUGAAAUUAACACAACAGACAGACCUGAGACACCUCCGACCAACGGUAAGAAGAAAAAAAAAAAGUAUAAAUUUUAAAUAAGUAAAAUAAAUCCAAACCCGUUUCUCUCCAUUUUGUAGAGUACAGACCAGAACCCGCUCACAAGGUGAACAAGGCUACUUGUACCAGCGAAGACGGUGUUUACUCACUAUUCGUCAUACCCGACACGCCAGAAAAGCAAGGGAGACAACCAGCUAACACUAAAGAAGCUGACACUGACGGAGGACCAUCUGGAUCCAGAAUUAACAUACCAGAAGCACCAGAGAAAGCAGUGACUGAGGACUCCAGGCCAUACCCCAAACUGAAGCAUUCCACUAGAAGAAGUGGCAGGAGGAAUACGAGGAGAUCAGCUUCAGGACGUCGGGGUCUAUCGAGAGGGAAGCUUAAGCCAGUUCGGUCCCCUGAUUUCAUGGAAAACCAAAAGGCAAGCCACAGUAUCUCUUUCAACUUGUGAAGCUAAAUACAUGGCGCCAGCUGCAACUAUACAAGAAUGUGUGUGGAAUGACCUGCUGAUUGCUACGCUGGGGCUGUGCUGCCUUCCCACCUGUUUCACAUCUCUCGUUAAGUUGAACCAUACUUAAGGACUCUCCACUCUACCAUUCUCUGCCAGUUCUUCCAGUUGCCAGUCGUCCAGCUAGCCUCCGGAAUCUUAUUAUGUGUGUAUUAGACUUUUUGCUCAAGAUCUUUUGUUAUUAAAACUUCUGUUAAGCCUGAACAUCCUGCGCCUGCGCUUGGGUUCAUUCUCUCCCAUUUUGCCACGACACACAACAGACACAAGGU